AAAAGCUCGUAGUUGGAUCUCAGAUCCGGCCGGACGGUCCGCCUACCGGUGGUUACUGUUCGUUGCCGAUCGUUCAGGCGGUUAUUCUUGAUGAUCUUCACCGGUUGUCUCGGGUGACCGCCAAGUUUACUUUGAAAAAAUUAGAGUGCUCAAAGCAGGCGCGACGCCUGAAUAAUUGUGCAUGGAAUAAUGGAAUAGGACCUCGGUUCUAUUUUGUUGGUUUUCGGAACACGAGGUAAUGAUUAAGAGGGACAGACGGGGGCAUUCGUAUUGCGACGCUAGAGGUGAAAUUCUUGGACCGUCGCAAGACGAACUACUGCGAAAGCAUUUGCCAAGAAUGUUUCCAUUAAUCAAGAACGAAAGUUAGAGGUCCGAAGGCGAUCAGAUACCGCCCUAGUUCUAACCAUAAACGAUGCCAGCCAGCGAUCCGGCUGUGUUCCUCAAAUGACACGCCGGGCAGCUUCCGGGAAACCAAAGCUUUUGGGUUCCGGGGGAAGUAUGGUUGCAAAGCUGAAACUUAAAGGAAUAGACGGAAGGGCACCACCAGGAUUGGAGCCUGCGGCUUAAUUUGACUCAACACGGGGAAACUUACCCGGCCCGGACACAGGAAGGAUUGACAGAUUAAGAGCUCUUUCUUGAUUCUGUGGGUGGUGGUGCAUGGCCGUUCUUAGUUGGUGGGGCGACUUGUCUGGUUAAUUCCGAUAACGAACGAGACUCUAGCCUACUAAAUAGACGUUCCCAUCAUCUUGUGUGGGACGUUCUUCUUAGAGGGACAAGCGGCGUCUAGCCGCACGAGACAGAGCAAUAACAGGUCUGAGAUGCCCUUAGAUGUCCGGGGCCGCACGCGCGCUACAUUGAAGGACUCAGCGUGUGCUUUCCCUGUCCGAAAGGACUGGGUAACCCGUUGAACCUCCUUCGUGCUGGGGAUUGGCGAAUGUAAUUGACGCCAUGAACGAGGAAUUCCCAGUAAGCAUGAGUCAUCAGCUCGUGCUGAUUACGUCCCUGCCCUUUGUACUCACCGCCCGUCGCUACUACCGAUUGAGUGAUUUAGUGAGGUCUUCGGACUGGCUCUCGGUCUGGCCUUCGUGGUCGAGCCGGUGUGCCGGAAAGAUGACCAAACUUGAUUAUUUAGAGGAAGUAAAAGUCGUAACAAGGUUUU
This 1159-nucleotide ribosomal RNA is filed under the name Cyrtarachne nagasakiensis. Its description in RNAcentral is "SSU rRNA". It matches the Rfam family "Eukaryotic small subunit ribosomal RNA", at positions 622 to 1803 of the family's 1831-position model. Lineage: Eukaryota; Metazoa; Arthropoda; Arachnida; Araneae; Araneidae. The record is from RNAcentral.